GGAGAAAAGCAGGGGAUCGCAAGGCCUUGCACUAUUGGAGUGGCCGAUGUCGGAUUAGCUAGUUGGCGGGGUAAAAGCCCACCAAGGCGACGAUCCGUAGCUGGUCUGAGAGGAUGAUCAGCCACACUGGGACUGAGACACGGCCCAGACUCCUACGGGAGGCAGCAGUGGGGAAUUUUGGACAAUGGGGGCAACCCUGAUCCAGCCAUGCCGCGUGAGUGAAGAAGGCCUUCGGGUUGUAAAGCUCUUUCGGCCAAGACGAAAUCGCUCUUGCUAACACCAAGGGUGGAUGACGGUACUGGAAGAAGAAGCACCGGCUAACUACGUGCCAGCAGCCGCGGUAAUACGUAGGGUGCGAGCGUUAAUCGGAAUUACUGGGCGUAAAGCGUGCGCAGGCGGUUUCGUAAGCCAGACGUGAAAUCCCCGGGCUUAACCUGGGAACUGCGUUUGAAACUACAAAGCUAG
RNAcentral lists this ribosomal RNA (465 nucleotides) under uncultured ammonia-oxidizing beta proteobacterium. RNAcentral's name for it is "bacterial SSU rRNA". It matches the Rfam family "Bacterial small subunit ribosomal RNA", at positions 198 to 644 of the family's 1533-position model. The record is from RNAcentral. Lineage: Bacteria; Pseudomonadati; Pseudomonadota; Betaproteobacteria.